AUGCCGCCUGUGACUCUCACACCUGGUACGUUCGUGGAUGCUAUUAGGUGUGAGGGUCACAGCUAGUUUGGUGGAGG
Molecule: microRNA precursor, 77 nt
Filed under: Plutella xylostella (diamondback moth)
Lineage: Eukaryota; Metazoa; Arthropoda; Insecta; Lepidoptera; Plutellidae
Description: microRNA pxy-mir-8506 precursor
Source: miRBase by way of RNAcentral